RNAcentral lists this microRNA precursor (292 nucleotides) under Ananas comosus (pineapple). RNAcentral describes it as "MIR159 microRNA precursor family". It matches the Rfam family "MIR159 microRNA precursor family". Lineage: Eukaryota; Viridiplantae; Streptophyta; Magnoliopsida; Poales; Bromeliaceae. The record is from Rfam by way of RNAcentral.
GGUUCUGGGGUGGAGCUUCCUUGGGUCCAAUGAAGGGUCUUUUGAGGGGCAAUUUAGCUGCUGAGUUAUGGAUCCCACUCUCCUAUCUCAUAGAAGAAAAAGAAGAGAGAGAGAGGGAGAGAGAGAGAGAGAGGGAGAGAGAGAGAGAUUAAGAGUUUAUUAAGAGAGAGAGUGAGAGAGAGAGAUGGAUAUGAGUAUUUGAGAUAGGUUUAGUGGUUUGCAUGACACAGGAGCUGCAUUAGCCCUUACAUGAUCUCUAUUUGGAUUGAAGGGAGCUCUGCAUCUACAUCCA